GAUGAACGCUAGCGGCAGGCCUAAUACAUGCAAGACGAACGGUAAGUUGAGUAGCAAUACUUAGCCAAGAGUGUCGUACGGGUGCGUAACACGUAUGCAACCUACCCUAUACAGGAGGAUAGCCUAGGGAAACCUGGAUUAACCCUUCAUAGUAUUAUUGGAUGGCAUCAUUUGAUAAUUAAAACUGAGGUGGUAUAGGAUGGGCAUGCGUCUGAUUAGUUAGUUGGCGGGGUAAUGGCCCACCAAGACGAUGAUCAGUAGGGGUUCUGAGAGGAAGAUCCCCCACACUGGCACUGAGAUACGGGCCAGACUCCUACGGGAGGCAGCAGUAGGGAAUAUUGGUCAAUGGAUGCAAGUCUGAACCAGCCAUGCCGCGUGCAGGAAGAAGGCCUUUCUGGGGUUGUAAACUGCUUUUGCCAGGGGAUAAAAUUUCCAUGCGUGGAAAACUGAAGGUACCUGGUGAAUAAGCCACGGCUAAACUACGUGCCAGCAGCCGCGGUAAUC
RNAcentral lists this ribosomal RNA (504 nucleotides) under uncultured bacterium. Its description in RNAcentral is "bacterial SSU rRNA". It matches the Rfam family "Bacterial small subunit ribosomal RNA", at positions 28 to 525 of the family's 1533-position model. The record is from RNAcentral.